Molecule: ribosomal RNA, 3013 nt
Filed under: Salmonella enterica subsp. enterica serovar Reading
Lineage: Bacteria; Pseudomonadati; Pseudomonadota; Gammaproteobacteria; Enterobacterales; Enterobacteriaceae
Description: 23S ribosomal RNA
Rfam family: Bacterial large subunit ribosomal RNA
Source: RNAcentral
GGGUUGUGAGGUUAAGCGACUAAGCGUACACGGUGGAUGCCCUGGCAGUCAGAGGCGAUGAAGGGCGUGCUAAUCUGCGAUAAGCGCCGGUAAGGUGAUAUGAACCGUUAUAACCGGCGAUACCCGAAUGGGGAAACCCAGUGUGAUUCGUCACACUAUCAUUAACUGAAUCCAUAGGUUAAUGAGGCGAACCGGGGGAACUGAAACAUCUAAGUACCCCGAGGAAAAGAAAUCAACCGAGAUUCCCCCAGUAGCGGCGAGCGAACGGGGAGGAGCCCAGAGCCUGAAUCAGCAUGUGUGUUAGUGGAAGCGUCUGGAAAGGCGCGCGAUACAGGGUGACAGCCCCGUACACAAAAGCGCAUGUGCUGUGAGCUCGAUGAGUAGGGCGGGACACGUGGUAUCCUGUCUGAAUAUGGGGGGACCAUCCUCCAAGGCUAAAUACUCCUGACUGACCGAUAGUGAACCAGUACCGUGAGGGAAAGGCGAAAAGAACCCCGGCGAGGGGAGUGAAAAAGAACCUGAAACCGUGUACGUACAAGCAGUGGGAGCACAGGUUUACCUGUGUGACUGCGUACCUUUUGUAUAAUGGGUCAGCGACUUAUAUUCUGUAGCAAGGUUAACCGUAUAGGGGAGCCGGAGGGAAACCGAGUCUUAAUUGGGCGUUAAGUUGCAGGGUAUAGACCCGAAACCCGGUGAUCUAGCCAUGGGCAGGUUGAAGGUUGGGUAACACUAACUGGAGGACCGAACCGACUAAUGUUGAAAAAUUAGCGGAUGACCUGUGGCUGGGGGUGAAAGGCCAAUCAAACCGGGAGAUAGCUGGUUCUCCCCGAAAGCUAUUUAGGUAGCGCCUCGUGAAUUCAUCUCCGGGGGUAGAGCACUGUUUCGGCUAGGGGGCCAUCCCGGCUUACCAACCCGAUGCAAACUGCGAAUACCGGAGAAUGUUAUCACGGGAGACACACGGCGGGUGCUAACGUCCGUCGUGAAGAGGGAAACAACCCAGACCGCCAGCUAAGGUCCCAAAGUCAUGGUUAAGUGGGAAACGAUGUGGGAAGGCCCAGACAGCCAGGAUGUUGGCUUAGAAGCAGCCAUCAUUUAAAGAAAGCGUAAUAGCUCACUGGUCGAGUCGGCCUGCGCGGAAGAUGUAACGGGGCUAAACCAUGCACCGAAGCUGCGGCAGCGAACGUAUCACCCAAGACAACUUUACGGAGUUGACGAUUGACGGAGCGAAGCGACGUCAAAGCGUUCAUUAAAGUCGAGUUGGCUUAGGGAUACGUUCGUUGGGUAGGGGAGCGUUCUGUAAGCCUGUGAAGGUGUGUCGUGAGGCAUGCUGGAGGUAUCAGAAGUGCGAAUGCUGACAUAAGUAACGAUAAAGCGGGUGAAAAGCCCGCUCGCCGGAAGACCAAGGGUUCCUGUCCAACGUUAAUCGGGGCAGGGUGAGUCGACCCCUAAGGCGAGGCCGAAAGGCGUAGUCGAUGGGAAACGGGUUAAUAUUCCCGUACUUGGUGUUACUGCGAAGGGGGGACGGAGAAGGCUAUGUUGGCCGGGCGACGGUUGUCCCGGUUUAAGCGUGUAGGUGUGUGUUCCAGGUAAAUCCGGUUCACUUUAACACUGAGGCGUGACGACGAGGCACUACGGUGCUGAAGCAACAAAUGCCCUGCUUCCAGGAAAAGCCUCUAAGCAUCAGGUAACAUCAAAUCGUACCCCAAACCGACACAGGUGGUCAGGUAGAGAAUACCAAGGCGCUUGAGAGAACUCGGGUGAAGGAACUAGGCAAAAUGGUGCCGUAACUUCGGGAGAAGGCACGCUGACACGUAGGUGAAGUGAUUUACUCACGGAGCUGAAGUCAGUCGAAGAUACCAGCUGGCUGCAACUGUUUAUUAAAAACACAGCACUGUGCAAACACGAAAGUGGACGUAUACGGUGUGACGCCUGCCCGGUGCCGGAAGGUUAAUUGAUGGGGUCAGCGCAAGCGAAGCUCCUGAUCGAAGCCCCGGUAAACGGCGGCCGUAACUAUAACGGUCCUAAGGUAGCGAAAUUCCUUGUCGGGUAAGUUCCGACCUGCACGAAUGGCGUAAUGAUGGCCAGGCUGUCUCCACCCGAGACUCAGUGAAAUUGAACUCGCUGUGAAGAUGCAGUGUACCCGCGGCAAGACGGAAAGACCCCGUGAACCUUUACUAUAGCUUGACACUGAACAUUGAGCCUUGAUGUGUAGGAUAGGUGGGAGGCUUUGAAGCGUGGACGCCAGUCUGCGUGGAGCCGACCUUGAAAUACCACCCUUUAAUGUUUGAUGUUCUAACGUGGACCCGUAAUCCGGGUUGCGGACAGUGUCUGGUGGGUAGUUUGACUGGGGCGGUCUCCUCCUAAAGAGUAACGGAGGAGCACGAAGGUUGGCUAAUCCUGGUCGGACAUCAGGAGGUUAGUGCAAUGGCAUAAGCCAGCUUGACUGCGAGCGUGACGGCGCGAGCAGGUGCGAAAGCAGGUCAUAGUGAUCCGGUGGUUCUGAAUGGAAGGGCCAUCGCUCAACGGAUAAAAGGUACUCCGGGGAUAACAGGCUGAUACCGCCCAAGAGUUCAUAUCGACGGCGGUGUUUGGCACCUCGAUGUCGGCUCAUCACAUCCUGGGGCUGAAGUAGGUCCCAAGGGUAUGGCUGUUCGCCAUUUAAAGUGGUACGCGAGCUGGGUUUAGAACGUCGUGAGACAGUUCGGUCCCUAUCUGCCGUGGGCGCUGGAGAACUGAGGGGGGCUGCUCCUAGUACGAGAGGACCGGAGUGGACGCAUCACUGGUGUUCGGGUUGUCAUGCCAAUGGCACUGCCCGGUAGCUAAAUGCGGAAGAGAUAAGUGCUGAAAGCAUCUAAGCACGAAACUUGCCCCGAGAUGAGUUCUCCCUGAGACUUAGAGUCUCCUGAAGGAACGUUGAAGACGACGACGUUGAUAGGCCGGGUGUGUAAGCGCAGCGAUGCGUUGAGCUAACCGGUACUAAUGAACCGUGAGGCUUAACCUUACAACGCCGAAG